Molecule: microRNA precursor, 109 nt
Filed under: Trypanosoma congolense IL3000
Lineage: Eukaryota; Euglenozoa; Kinetoplastea; Trypanosomatida; Trypanosomatidae
Source: RNAcentral
UAACCAACGGGCAAAAGGAGGAAAGGAGAAGGAGGGAUGGGGAGGAAAUAAUAAUAAAAACUCGCUUUCCCACCCAUUUCUUCCUCUCCUUUAUUGUUUAUUUAUAUUU